AAAAAACAUCACAUCAAGAGUCUCUCUCAAUCUGAAUGCCAAACUAACUCACAAGAAUGAAUGAGAGAUUGAAACUGAAACAGAACAAAACUGAAUGAUUGUCCUACUCCUAUCCAAAUCCAACACUACAAUUUUCAACCUCUAACCACAUUAUCCACGAACACAAACACAAAUACACUUCUAUUUUCUCAUCUCUGCCAAAAAAAAAAAAAAAAAUGAACUCCUUUUUAUAUUUUUUGCUUUGAUUACACACAUAUGGUGGCAUGUUGCUAUUUGUGCCGAGUGGCCAUCGCCGUCGUCGACAUGAACAUCUCUGCUCCGGCCACCGGAAUGUCAUCUUCGUCGUCAGCUAUAGUUUCUUCUCAGUUUUGGGUCUCUAACUCUAAGCCAUCUCAGUUCUGGGGUGGUGGUAGUACCAAGCUUGAGUCGCAGAGUAAGAAGGAUCGCUUGAAGAGAAAGCUUAAGUUAGUGGUCACUGCGGAGCUCUCCAAGUCUUCCUCCCUCAGUUUUGGGUUGGACUCUCAGACCUUGCAGUCUUAUGACUCGUCACCAGUGCCUUGGGCUGGUCCAGUUCCUGGGGAUAUUGCAGAGGUUGAGGCAUAUUGUAGAAUCUUUAGAACAGCUGAACGGCUUCAUGCUGCACUAAUGGACACAUUAUGCAAUCCAUUGACUGGUGAAUGUAGUGUUUCAUAUGACUUCACAUCCGAGGAAAAACCACUAUUGGAAGAUAAACUAGUCUCUGUCCUUGGUUGCAUGGUAUCCCUCCUUAACAAAGGAAGAACUGAUGUCCUUUCCGGAAGAUCCUCAAUCCAAAAUUCAUCUCGGAUUGGAGAUGUAAGCUCGGAGGAUAUGCUUCCUCCACUUGCCAUUUACAGGAGUGAGAUGAAAAGGUGUUGUGAGAGCUUCCAUGUCGCUCUUGAAAACUAUUUGAUGCCUGAUGAUAAUCGAAGCUUGGAUGUGUGGAGGAAACUUCAGAGACUGAAGAAUGUAUGCUAUGAUUCUGGUUUUUCUCGUCAGGAGGAUUAUCCAUGCCAUACACUGUUUGCGAAUUGGAAGCCCGUUUAUUUUUCGACUUCUAAAGAAGACUCAGGGCCCAAAGAUUCUGAGGUAGCUUUUUGGAUGGGUGGUCAGGUGACAGAAGAAGGCCUGAAGUGGUUAGUGAAUAAAGGGUAUAAGACUAUUGUAGAUCUUAGAGCAGAGACUGUAAAGGAUAACUUUUAUCAAGCAGCCAUAGAUAAUGCUAUUUUGUCUCAGAAAGUUGAACUGGUCAAAAUUCCUGUUGAAGUUGGGACCGCACCUACGAUGGAGCAGGUUGAGAAGUUUGCAUCUUUAGUUUCAGAUUGCAGCAAAAAGCCCAUAUAUCUUCACAGUAGGGAAGGAGUGCAGAGAACUUCUGCCAUGGUCUCCAGGUGGAGGCAGUACUUGACUCGUUCUGCAUCACAUUUUGUCUCUAGUCGGUCAGUUGCUUCCAAUGAUAUGUUAUUACGUGAUGCAAAUGAAAUGGGAAAACUUCAGGAGUCUUCCCUUUCAGAUGAAAACUCCCUUCUUAAAAGGGAGAACAAGUCAAUUCAAGAGUCUUUGGGUACAUAUCAUGGUUCAAAUGGAGUAUCCCACGAAAAAGUCUCUCCCUUCAAGGUUAAGGAACAUGAAAGCAGUAACGGGGCCUACAACGGCCUUGUUUCUCCCCAAGGUCUGACAUCAGUAGAAUUAGCUGAUAAUGGAGUAGGAUCUGAUGCAAACUUCAGCAGGGAAACUGACCCUCUGAAGGCUCAGGUUCCUCCAUGCAGUGUCUUCUCCAAAAAAGAAAUGUCUAGAUUUUUUAGGAGUAGAAAGAUCUCCCCUCCUACUUAUUUUAAUUAUCAAUUGAAAAGGUUUGAAAUACUGCCAGUUUCAAGAGAGGUGUGUAUUGGGACAAUGUGGAAAGGUGAUACGGUUGCUACUAAUACUGUACCAUUGACUCUGGAGUCAGGAAGUUCCAAUGGUUCACUUAAUGGAAAAAAUUUAUAUCCAGAGCCCCAAAAAUCACCUGCUGACAAUGGGAAGUAUUUGAUUGGUGAUAUUUUGGUUGCCACUAGUCCAGUUGUGAAUGGACUGGGCAAAGGGGAAAGGUCUUCUGUGAUGACAGAAAAUAUCUCUACGAUUGUGACUAAUAACUUUGAUGAGCAUGUAACAUCCAAAUCUGUACUGAAGGAUCAUAAGAACAAUGGUGGAGCUGCUUUAGUUUCAGCCAGUGAUGACCUGGCUACGAUUGGAGGUAAUAUGUGUGCUUCUGCAACUGGUGUUGUAAGGGUGCAGUCAAGAAGGAAAGCAGAAAUGUUUUUAGUUCGAACAGAUGGAUUUUCUUGUACCAGAGAAAAGGUGACAGAAUCAUCCUUGGCCUUCACUCAUCCUAGUACCCAGCAGCAGAUGCUUAUGUGGAAAUCGACACCAAAGACUGUAUUGUUGUUAAAGAAACUGGGGCAAGAGCUCAUGGAACAAGCUAAAGAGGUUGCCUCUUUUCUGUAUUAUGAAGAGAAAAUGAAUGUACUUGUGGAACCUGAUGUGCAUGACAUAUUUGCUAGAAUCCCAGGGUUCGGAUUUAUUCAGACCUUUUAUAGUCAAGACACCAGCGAUCUACAUGAAAGGGUUGAUUUUGUGGCUUGCUUGGGGGGAGAUGGGGUUAUACUACACGCAUCAAAUUUAUUUAGAGGUGCUGUGCCCCCUGUUGUAUCAUUUAAUCUUGGAUCUCUUGGAUUUCUGACUUCCCAUACCUUUGAUGACUAUAAACAAGACUUAAGACAAGUCAUCCAUGGAAAUAACACUGUGGAUGGUGUCUAUAUAACUCUUAGAAUGCGCCUUCGAUGUGAAAUUUUUCGAAAUGGUAAAGCAAUGCCUGGGAAAGUAUUUGAUGUCCUAAAUGAGGUCGUUGUUGAUCGGGGAUCUAAUCCAUAUCUCUCUAAAAUUGAGUGCUAUGAACAUGACAGGCUCAUAACCAAGGUGAGGUGCAAGGUGAUGGAGUCAUUGUAGCCACACCAACAGGAAGUACUGCUUACUCUACAGCCGCAGGAGGUUCCAUGGUGCAUCCAAAUGUUCCUGGCAUGCUGUUUACACCAAUCUGCCCCCACUCCCUCUCAUUUAGACCGGUUAUACUUCCAGAUUCGGCAAGGUUGGAAAUGAAGAUUCCAGAAGAUGCUAGAAGCAAUGCAUGGGUUUCUUUUGAUGGGAAGAGAAGGCAGCAACUCUCACGAGGAGAUUCUGUACGAAUAUCUAUGAGCCAGCACCCACUUCCAACAGUUAACAAGUCUGACCAGACAGGUGAUUGGUUUCACAGCUUGAUUCGCUGCCUAAAUUGGAAUGAAAGGCUAGAUCAAAAGGCCCUUUGAAGCCUCUUUCUGUCUGAGAUUGAAGUUUGUGCAAAACUACUGUACAUGUUGUAAACUGAGAUCAAAGAAAAUUUGACUUUGCAGAGUAAAUAAUACGAUUCAUUCCCACAUUUGCUUCCAUGUGAAUCCUUUUUUUUUUUUCUUCAUUUCAAUAUGACAAAAUGUACUUGUAUAAUGUCAUCUAUUACACAGCAAUAAAGAUUUAAUCUUGUAGAUCCA
Molecule: RNA transcript, 3581 nt
Organism: Quercus lobata
Lineage: Eukaryota; Viridiplantae; Streptophyta; Magnoliopsida; Fagales; Fagaceae
Gene: NADK2
Gene name: NAD kinase 2
Exons: 8
Source: RefSeq, a predicted model, not a curated record